Molecule: unclassified non-coding RNA, 5733 nt
Filed under: Pectinophora gossypiella (pink bollworm)
Lineage: Eukaryota; Metazoa; Arthropoda; Insecta; Lepidoptera; Gelechiidae
Description: macoilin
Source: RNAcentral
CAACAGUUUAACAGUUCGUAGUAGUUUUAAAAAGUGUUACUGUGGCAACAUAAUUAUGAGUGAACGCAAAAAGCUUGCCGAUAUUUCAUCCAUCUCCCUCGUAAAUUCUGUAGGCCGAUUGACAACAAAAGGCGAUAUUUUGAGCAUUGUUGUUUUAAAUGUUUCUCUAUAAAGUGUCGUGAACGGACAGCCUAUAUUUGUGAUUUACAGAGUGGAGGAAAAAAUAUGAAGAGGCGAAAUGCCGAAACUGGCAAGAUGCGGCGCCCAGUAAAGCGCACCAAAAUCACCGAAGGAAUGUACGGAAACUCCAUGCUGUACCUGAAGUUCGUGAUGCUGUGGGCGACAGUAGUGCUUGCAGACUAUAUGCUGGAGUUCCGGUUUGAGUUCCUCUGGCCUUUCUGGAUGAUGCUCAGAUCCGUCUAUGACUCCUUUAAAUAUCAGGGACUUGCGUUUUCAGUAUUUUUCAUCUGCAUAGCGCUCACGUCCGACAUGAUAUGUUUCUUCUUUAUUCCGCUACAGUACAUAUUCUUCGCAGCCAGUACCUAUGUAUGGGUGCAAUAUGUCUGGUAUACAUUUGCAGACAAAGGCGUAUGCCUGCCCACAGUAGCGAUAUGCUGCGUGCUGGUGUACGUGGAGGGCGCGCUGCGGGCGCGCACGGGCGGAGGCCUGGAGCUCUGCCGGCCGCUGGCGGCGCACUGUGUGGGGUACCCGGUGGUGACGCUCGGGUUCGGCGUGAAGUCGUACGUGGGCCACCGGCUGCGCCUGCGCCGCCAGCGGCAGGUCCGCGCCGAGAACCAGUUCUACUUCCAGCUCAUGCGGGACGCGCUGCCGGACACGGAGCUCGAGCAGAGUCAAACAAAAGAAGAGUCGCGCCCCGCCACGAGCCCCACCAGUAACGGGGAGUGCGCCCACGCAGGCGACACGCGGCAUAUGAACGGCUCCGUGCGCCGCCGCUGCAAGGACGCCAACGGGAUACUGCACGACCUUACGCAGGCUAAGUUAGAGAAGCUGGAGAAGCAGCUGUCGCGGGACAAGCCGGCGCACGCGCACAGCAACGGGGCGCCGCCCGGCGCCGCGCCGCCUGCCGACGACGACAGGCACGACCACAGUAAAGGUAGUGCAAAGUCAUCGAAAUGUGAAAAGAAAGAGGCUAGUACAUUAAAAGAAGAAAAGAGAAAGAAUAAAAACAAAGAUAAAGAUAAGGAUAAUCAUAGCGAUAGUCAUAAGGGUACAGAGCAAACAAAAGAACAAAUAGUUAAAGAAGUAGAAAGUACAAAAGAGAAUCAUAUAAGAAAUCACAAGGACUGCAACAGUGUCAAGGAGAAGGAGAAGGAACGGGAAAAGGAGAGAGAAAAGGAGAGGGAGAGAGAGAGAGAAGCUAAAGAGAGGGAGAAGGAGAAGGAACGCGAACGAGAGAAGGAAAGGGAACGCGAGAGGGAAAGGGAAAGGGAGUUGAAGUGCGCGCGCGAGGUGUCGGAGGAGCUGCGGCGCGUGCGCGCGGAGCUGGCGGCGGCGCUGCGCGCGGAGGGCGAGGCGCGCCGCGCGCUGGCCGCCGCCGCCGCCGCCGAGCGCCAGCGCCGCGCCGACCACCACCACCUCAAGCAGGCGCACGCCACGCUGCAGCACAAAGUGUCGGUGUGGCGCACGCAGGAGCGCGCAGCACUGGAGCGGCGGCUGGGCGAGGAGCGGCGCGCGCGCACCACGGCCGAGACCAUGCUGCAGCGGGCGCGGGCCGCCACCAGGACGCCCACGGGCGAGUGUGAGAACGAGUGGUGUCGCAACCGGCGGACGUCCAUGGACGGCGAGACGGCGGCGCUGCGGCGAGACCUGCGCCGCGCCACCGACAGGAACGACCAGCUCACCAGAGACCUCAGUCAGGCCAACGAACAGCUGCGAGCACUAGAAGCGCGGCGCGAGGAGUGCAAUAAGAGCAGCGACAGCUCCCUCGGCGGGGGCGGCGGCUUGGGCUCCGGGGGCGGAGGCCUGGGCGCGUGGAGCGCGCUGGCCGAGCGCGCGGCGCACCUGGAGCGCUCGCUGUCGGCCGAGACGCGCGUCAAGCUGGACCUGCUGUCCGCGCUCGGGGACGCCAAGCGCCAGCUGCAUAUACAAGAGGGUUUAAUAUCAAAACAAGAGAAAGAAAUAGAAGAACUGAAAGCUCAAAUGUUGGCGGUAAUGCCUACGGAAUACGUGACACCUGUCAGCGGGUCUAUGUCGAAACUCAGAUUGGAGAGUUCACCACUGGACCCAAACGCGUCGGUCUACACGCCCAAACAGCUGUGCUCCGACGCCUAGGUACCUGCCUCGAUUCGUCCUUACAGGCCAUCCACGUUCAGUCAGACCGUCUUAAACUGGAAAUUUCUACAAAAUUCCACAGCUCGGCCAGGGUAAGUUGAUCCGCGUUUAGGGCUACUUACACUGGGCUAUGUUUCUGGAAGUUUCUAGAACUUUCCAGCACGAGUUGGUCCGGCUUAAUGGUGCGGAGGCCGUUAACGUAUUACACUACACUUUAUGUUUAUGUAACGGUCACCACAUAGUAUAUUUUAAUGGGGUAUAAUGGGCCCGGUACAUACCGCGUUAACCUAAUUGCGUUUUCACACUACAUUCGAGUCCGAGAUAGAUAGAUAAAAUACUUUAUUGAGCACAAUGGACACAAAAUACAACAGAUACAGAAAAGCACAACAGGCGGCCUUAUUGCUCAUGCAGCAAUUUCUUCCACGCAACCUUAAAGGGUUAAGGGCCUUUUCCUUAGGGUUUUCGGAGAAUGACCGAUAGUAGAAAAAUACUUAUGGCCGUUUUCGAUAAUCUAUCCAUUCAAUGAUUUCGCUUACUAAAGUAACUUUUGACACUUAUUUUGAUGCACACGUCAAAAAUGUUUUGUAAGCAAAAACCAUGGUUUGAUAGAUUAUUAAAAACGGCAGUCAGAGAUAUCGGAUGACGGAUUUUGGUAAUGCCAUAGAAUAAUGAAUAAUACUACGUUAUAGAACGGUAACUCUUCGCUCCGCACCAUUCCGCAGCGGGCGCCGACCUUACCUCUGGGUUCUUUCGUCUUAAACGGCCGUUAGCCGGUAAGGAGUAUGAGAGAGAGAGAGAGAGAGAGAGCACGAACUGUCUGUGUCGCCCGCACUUAUGCGUUAGGCGGUAUACGACAGGAAUAGUGUAGUAGUGCAUAAUAAUAAGCUACCGUACAAAUAGCUCUACAGCCAUUUUGGAUCCUUCGUUUGACGGAUUCGGUUCGCUAGUGUGAAAACGCCCUAAGGGUCUCUUUAUUUCAGGGUAGUGAUAUGCUACGGUUUUUCUAAGUUUUUUUUUCUUGGUUUAAACUACAAUCAGUCCUCUAGACUAAGCAGUUUCGUUGAGUGGAUAAGUGACGUGUCAGGAGCUACAACCAGUGUCACAGCUUCCCACUUUAUACAACAUGGCUUCUCUUCAGUCGUUUCACAUUUACGAGGUCUAUAAGCUCUGAUGCGAGGGGAUUCGGAUGAUCGGGUAGUCGCUCUAGAUGUUUCUUUUGGUAAUUCUUGAUCUCUUCAGCGACGGUGGGAAUGUUAAGGUAUUCAUAUUAUAAGGUAUUUUUUGAAUCUAUAUAAUUAUCUAUCAUCAUCAGCCGUACGACGCCCACUGCUGGGCAUAGGCCUCCCCCAAGGAUCUCCACGACGAUCGGUCCUGCACUGCCCGCAUCCAGCGGCUUCCCAAGGUCCGCUUACCUAACCUGAAGAUUUGACAGGUCCAGUUUUUUAUAGAAACGACUGCCUGUCUGUCUUUCCAACCCGAAGAGAAACCAGCCCAAUACAGGUUAGGUCACAUCCCUCCGAAACGCAGAAAGUGGGUUUCUGUGGGGUCAGUUGUGCACGUGAUCUAAACAUUAAUUCGAAAAUAACUUUGAAAAUCAUUGUUUAGGCCCGUGCUGGGUUUGUUAUUGCAAAAUGACGCGACCUUGGCUUCAUCAUCAUCUCCCUAGCAUUAUCCCGUUUUUUCAGAGUCCGCUUACCUAACCUGAAGUUUGACAGGUCCGUAUUUUUAAAGAAGCGACUUCCUGUCUGACCUUCCAACCGCGAAGAGACCAGCCCAAUAUAGGUUAGGUCACAUACCUAGAUGUUUCCCUUCACAGCUGAGCACGUGAUAAUCAUUUAUGAUUCAAACAUGAAUUGGAAAAAAUCGACAAUCAUUGGUUUAGGCCUGUGCUGGAUUCGAACCUACCAACUGGGUUACCACGGCUCACGCGACCUUGACUCCAUUACAACUAAUAUUUAUUAUGUAGUAUAGACAAUUUGUUGACGUCAUUUUACCGCUGUUAGAUGACUCCGUUCUCUUAGGAAACCGAAGCUUUGCUACCCUGAAAUAGAGUCGAAAAUAUAAUGUAGUGUGAUACGUCUUUUAAGGCCUUAAUUGGUUAAAACAUAGUACUAUGACGCGAUAUCAUUAUGGCGUUCGGAUACUGUGGGUUCACCCCAGCAGUAAAGGCAACCAGGCUAUAUCCCGUCAUUAUGACGUAUGUACAAUCAUGAGUAAUAUUAUGGUAUAGUCCGUUCAAGAAUGAUCUUCAUAAAAGGUAAACAAAUAUGGCUGCCGAUAUUUUUUAUCUGUGUCAAACUGCAUACUAGUGAAGUGCUGAAUUGAUUUUAGCUCAAGUUAUUUUAUCAAAAUGAACUGACUCUCUUGGGCUGUUUGAAUAUUUUGUAUGAUAAUAUUAAAAUAUACAUUGUAUGUUUCUUUAUGGUUACACUAACUCACUUUGAAAGUCAUUUUUUCUGCGCAUUUCGGCUUAUUAAGUACAGUACACUCACUUAAGUUAUUCACGGAACUGACUCGUUUUCCUGACCUGAAUGAAAUGUCUCAUCACUAAUAGUCAAAUUGACAGCUAGCCACAGAUUAACAAGAAUUUAUGAUGUCAACUUUUUUGUGUGAGGUUUUGUUUGAUUUUUGUUUUUACAUGAAAAAAUGUGUUUUUAAUCAUUAUUUUACGUUAAUUUCACAUUGAGCUAAGAAAUCAUACAUCUAUUGAGUGCUACGGAUGUUAUUAGGAAAAUACUUUGCGUAGUUUAGGUGAAAUUCGAACAUUCUUUGUAGUAACAGGUUUGUUUACCUUUUAUGAAGAUCAUUUUUGAACGGACUAUAUAAGAAAACCAGGUAUGCUCAAUCCUAUAACAAGCCGCCAUUGCUAGCCCAUUGAUGACGUAAGCGUUACCACUGUGUUACCGUUAAGAACGUAAAUUUUAUUAUUGAAAAUUAAGCGAAUUACUGACUAAUAUAUUUAAUUACUAUUAUUGGUGCUAAUUCCUGUAAAUACCAUCUAAUUUUAUUUUAAGUUAUAUCUGUCAUUUUCUUAUCCGCCGAAAAGGAAAGGGACGGGUAAUCGACAAGCAUGAAAUUUAUGGAACACACGUCAAUUUUAAGCACAAAUCUAAACAAACCGUGUAAAAAUUUUACAUACGUCAAUAACCCGACACAGUUAAGUAGACAGCACGUCAAACGGAUUGCAUACCAGCGACGUACCUUUUGAUUCGCCCGGGUUAUUCAUUCAUUUACUCAUUCUUCCUAAAAUUAAGAGCUGUGAAUCAUCCGUCCCUUUCCUUUUCGGAGGAUAUGAAAAUGACGGAUAUAACUUAAAAUAAAAUUAGGCGGUGUCUGCUGGAAUCGGGGCCAUAAUCUACCUAUAUUAAUUUAAGUUUCUUAAGGAAGUAAAAGCAAUUGGGUUGUGUACUAGGUAGGUACUAGAUAAAUUAUGAAAUUCUG